GUUACGAGGUUCGUGGCCGCGGUUUCCCCAGGCAGCUGGCGCUGGAGGCUUCGGCGUCACGUGCUGGUCUGGAUUUUUCUCGAUGCACUGGGGAAAGCGGUGGACUCUUAUCGUGGGAGGGCUCUUGAUCUGUGAUUUAUAGAUAGGCACAGCUACUCCCGUUCGGGAACCCAACGGCAGACAGGUCCUAGUGCCCAUCAGAUACCCGCGGCCGGGACUCGGAGCUGUGGGGUGUGGGGAGGCGGAGGCACCAACUAAGAGCGACCUAGCAUCGCAAAGCCGCCCUCGGGGCGCUCAUGGCGGGACGCCUCCUGGGAAAGGCUUUAGCCGCGGUGUCUCUCUCUCUGGCCUUGGCCUCUGUGACUAUCAGGUCCUCGCGCUGCCGCGGCAUCCAGGCGUUCAGAAACUCGUUUUCAUCUUCUUGGUUUCAUCUUAAUACCAACGUCAUGUCUGGUUCUAAUGGUUCCAAAGAAAAUUCUCACAAUAAGGCUCGGACGUCUCCUUACCCAGGUUCAAAAGUUGAACGAAGCCAGGUUCCUAAUGAGAAAGUGGGCUGGCUUGUUGAGUGGCAAGACUAUAAGCCUGUGGAAUACACUGCAGUCUCUGUCUUGGCUGGACCCAGGUGGGCAGAUCCUCAGAUCAGUGAAAGUAAUUUUUCUCCCAAGUUUAACGAAAAGGAUGGGCAUGUUGAGAGAAAGAGCAAGAAUGGCCUGUAUGAGAUUGAAAAUGGAAGACCGAGAAAUCCUGCAGGACGGACUGGACUGGUGGGCCGGGGGCUUUUGGGGCGAUGGGGCCCAAAUCACGCUGCAGAUCCCAUUAUAACCAGAUGGAAAAGGGAUAGCAGUGGAAAUAAAAUCAUGCAUCCUGUUUCUGGGAAGCAUAUCUUACAAUUUGUUGCAAUAAAAAGGAAAGACUGUGGAGAAUGGGCAAUCCCAGGGGGGAUGGUGGAUCCAGGAGAGAAGAUUAGUGCCACACUGAAAAGAGAAUUUGGUGAGGAAGCUCUCAACUCCUUACAGAAAAC
Molecule: long non-coding RNA, 1021 nt
Filed under: Homo sapiens (human)
Lineage: Eukaryota; Metazoa; Chordata; Mammalia; Primates; Hominidae
Description: long non-coding RNA NONHSAT198804.1
Source: RNAcentral